RNAcentral lists this ribosomal RNA (484 nucleotides) under uncultured bacterium. RNAcentral's name for it is "partial 16S ribosomal RNA". It matches the Rfam family "Bacterial small subunit ribosomal RNA", at positions 30 to 507 of the family's 1533-position model. The record is from RNAcentral.
AUUGAACGCUGGCGGCAGGCCUAACACAUGCAAGUCGAGCGGAUGAAGGGAGCUUGCUCCUGGAUUCAGCGGCGGACGGGUGAGUAAUGCCUAGGAAUCUGCCUGGUAGUGGGGGAUAACGUCCGGAAACGGGCGCUAAUACCGAAUACGUCCUGAGGGAGAAAGUGGGGGAUCUUCGGACCUCACGCUAUCAGAUGAGCCUAGGUCGGAUUAGCUAGUUGGUGGGGUAAAGGCCUACCAAGGCGACGAUCCGUAACUGGUCUGAGAGGAUGAUCAGUCACACUGGAACUGAGACACGGUCCAGACUCCUACGGGAGGCAGCAGUGGGGAAUAUUGGACAAUGGGCGAAAGCCUGAUCCAGCCGUGCCGCGUGUGUGAAGAAGGUCUUCGGAUUGUAAAGCACUUUAAGUUGGGAGGAAGGGCAGUAAGUUAAUACCUUGCUGUUUUGACGUUACCAACAGAAUAAGCACCGGCUAACUUCGUG